UUUACUUUGACAGAUUUAUGUAAUAAAUUUAGAAUUUAUUUAAGUAAUAAAUAAAUAUUACAAGUAAAU
Molecule: transfer RNA, 69 nt
Filed under: Euurobracon breviterebrae
Lineage: Eukaryota; Metazoa; Arthropoda; Insecta; Hymenoptera; Braconidae
Description: tRNA-Leu
Source: RNAcentral